UUUUGGUCCUAAACUUGCCGUUGUUUUUGAUCAAAAUUACACAUGCAAGCAUCCGCAUCCCAGUGAGAAUGCCCUUCUAAAGCACCAAGGAGCAGGUAUCAGGCACAACAGUUUAGCCCAAGACACCUUGCUACGCCACACCCACACGGGCACCCAGCAGUGAUAAAUAUUAAGCAAUGAGUAAAAGCCAACGUAAAGCUCGACUUAGUUAUGAUCACAUUGGGCCGGUAAACCUCGUGCCAGCCACCGCGGUUAUACGAGGGGCCCAAAACAACGGACACCGGCGUAAAUUGUGACUAGAGUAAUCACUUACAGAACUGGAAGAUAAACAAAAACCCAACCGUAAAACCAGGGCUAAAAGAAACCCUCACUCCCAACUAUACAGUGACUUGAACACACGAAGACUAAGGCACAAACUAGGAUUAGAUACCCUACUAUGCUUAGUUGUUAACACGACACCAAAAAACAUUGAUGUCCGCCAGAGAAUUACGCGCGAAAAGCCUAAAACUCAAAGGACUUGGCGGUGCUCCGUAUUCGUCUUAGAGGAGCCUGUCCUAUAAUCGAUACCCCACGUUUUACCUUACCACCUUUUGUCAAAACAGCCUAUAUACCGCCGUCGCAAACUUACCCCAUGAGGGUAGAACAGUAAGUAAAAUAGUAUUACACUAACACGUCAGGUCAAGGUGUAGCUAACAAGAUGGAAGAGAUGGGCUACAUUUUCUAAAACAGAACACACGGCAAAGGGCAUUGAAACUUAUGUCCUAAAAGGCGGAUUUAAUAGUAAGAUGACAAAGAAAAGCCAUCUAAAACUCGCUCCGGAGCGCGCACACACCGCCCGUCACCCUCCUCAACUAA
This 855-nucleotide non-coding RNA is filed under the name Liolaemus uptoni. RNAcentral describes it as "partial 12S ribosomal RNA". It matches the Rfam family "Bacterial small subunit ribosomal RNA". Lineage: Eukaryota; Metazoa; Chordata; Lepidosauria; Squamata. The record is from RNAcentral.